RNAcentral lists this ribosomal RNA (460 nucleotides) under uncultured bacterium. RNAcentral's name for it is "partial 16S ribosomal RNA". It matches the Rfam family "Bacterial small subunit ribosomal RNA", at positions 338 to 795 of the family's 1533-position model. The record is from RNAcentral.
CCUACGGGAGGCAGCAGUGAGGAAUAUUGGUCAAUGGGCGUAAGCCUGAACCAGCCAAGUCGCGUGAGGGAUGAAGGUUCUAUGGAUCGUAAACCUCUUUUAUAAGGGAAUAAAGUGCGGGACGUGUCCCGUGUUGUAUGUACCUGAUGAAUAAGGAUCGGCUAACUCCGUGCCAGCAGCCGCGGUAAUACGGAGGAUCCGAGCGUUAUCCGGAUUUAUUGGGUUUAAAGGGUGCGUAGGCGGCCUUUUAAGUCAGCGGUGGAAGUCUGUGGCUCAACCAUAGAAUUGCCGUUGAAACUGGGAGGCUGGCGUGUGUUUGAGGCAGGCGGAAUGCGUGGUGUAGCGGUGAAAUGCAUAGAUAUCACGAAGAACCCCGAUUGCGAAGGCAGCUUACUAAACUGUGACUGACAUUGCGGCUCGAAAGUGUGGGUAUCAAACAGGAUUAGAUACCCGAGUAGUC